RNAcentral lists this ribosomal RNA (159 nucleotides) under uncultured bacterium. RNAcentral describes it as "partial 16S ribosomal RNA". It matches the Rfam family "Bacterial small subunit ribosomal RNA", at positions 355 to 509 of the family's 1533-position model. The record is from RNAcentral.
UGAGGAAUAUUGGUCAAUGGGCGGGGAGGCCUGAACCAGCCAAGUCGCGUGAGGGAAGACGGUCCUAUGGAUUGUAAACCUCUUUUGUCGGGGAGCAAAGAGGCCACGUGUGGUCAAAAGCGAGAGUACCCGAAGAAAAGCAUCGGCUAACUCCGUGCC